Molecule: ribosomal RNA, 1372 nt
Filed under: uncultured bacterium
Lineage: Bacteria
Description: bacterial SSU rRNA
Rfam family: Bacterial small subunit ribosomal RNA
Source: RNAcentral
GAUGAACGCUGGCGGCGUGCCUAAUACAUGCAAGUCGAGCGAACGGACGAGAAGCUUGCUUCUCUGAUGUUAGCGGCGGACGGGUGAGUAACACGUGGAUAACCUACCUAUAAGACUGGGAUAACUUCGGGAAACCGGAGCUAAUACCGGAUAAUAUUUUGAACCGCAUGGUUCAAAAGUGAAAGACGGUCUUGCUGUCACUUAUAGAUGGAUCCGCGCUGCAUUAGCUAGUUGGUAAGGUAACGGCUUACCAAGGCAACGAUGCAUAGCCGACCUGAGAGGGUGAUCGGCCACACUGGAACUGAGACACGGUCCAGACUCCUACGGGAGGCAGCAGUAGGGAAUCUUCCGCAAUGGGCGAAAGCCUGACGGAGCAACGCCGCGUGAGUGAUGAAGGUCUUCGGAUCGUAAAACUCUGUUAUUAGGGAAGAACAUAUGUGUAAGUAACUGUGCACAUCUUGACGGUACCUAAUCAGAAAGCCACGGCUAACUACGUGCCAGCAGCCGCGGUAAUACGUAGGUGGCAAGCGUUAUCCGGAAUUAUUGGGCGUAAAGCGCGCGUAGGCGGUUUUUUAAGUCUGAUGUGAAAGCCCACGGCUCAACCGUGGAGGGUCAUUGGAAACUGGAAAACUUGAGUGCAGAAGAGGAAAGUGGAAUUCCAUGUGUAGCGGUGAAAUGCGCAGAGAUAUGGAGGAACACCAGUGGCGAAGGCGACUUUCUGGUCUGUAACUGACGCUGAUGUGCGAAAGCGUGGGGAUCAAACAGGAUUAGAUACCCUGGUAGUCCACGCCGUAAACGAUGAGUGCUAAGUGUUAGGGGGUUUCCGCCCCUUAGUGCUGCAGCUAACGCAUUAAGCACUCCGCCUGGGGAGUACGACCGCAAGGUUGAAACUCAAAGGAAUUGACGGGGACCCGCUCAAGCGGUGGAGCAUGUGGUUUAAUUCGAAGCAACGCGAAGAACCUUACCAAAUCUUGACAUCCUUUGACAACUCUAGAGAUAGAGCCUUCCCCUUCGGGGGACAAAGUGACAGGUGGUGCAUGGUUGUCGUCAGCUCGUGUCGUGAGAUGUUGGGUUAAGUCCCGCAACGAGCGCAACCCUUAAGCUUAGUUGCCAUCAUUAAGUUGGGCACUCUAAGUUGACUGCCGGUGACAAACCGGAGGAAGGUGGGGAUGACGUCAAAUCAUCAUGCCCCUUAUGAUUUGGGCUACACACGUGCUACAAUGGACAAUACAAAGGGCAGCGAAACCGCGAGGUCAAGCAAAUCCCAUAAAGUUGUUCUCAGUUCGGAUUGUAGUCUGCAACUCGACUACAUGAAGCUGGAAUCGCUAGUAAUCGUAGAUCAGCAUGCUACGGUGAAUACGUUCCCGGGUCU